CUUUCAGAUGGAGUAGCUGUGUUGAAGGUUGGAGGGACAAGUGAUGUUGAAGUGAAUGAGAAAAAAGACAGAAUUACAGAUGCUCUCAAUGCUGCAAGAGCAGCUGUUGAGGAAGGCAUUGUUCUAGGAGGGGGCUGUGCUCUGCUUCGGUGCAUCCCAGCCUUGGAUUCAUUAAAGCCUGCCAAUGAAGAUCAGAAAAUAGGUACAGAAAUUAUUAAAAGAGCACUUAAAAUUCCUGCAAUGACAAUUGCUAAGAAUGCAGGUGUUGAAGGAUCUUUGAUAGUUGAGAAAAUUCUGCAGAGUUCCUCAGAAGUUGGUUAUGAUGCCAUGCUUGGAGAUUUUGUGAACAUGGUGGAAAAGGGAAUCAUUGAUCCAACGAAGGUUAUAAGAACUGCCUUACUGGAUGCUGCUGGGGUGGCCUCCUUGCUAACUACAGCUGAAGCUGUAGUGACAGAAAUUCCUAAAGAAGAGAAAGACCCUGGAAUGGGUGCAAUGGGUGGAAUGGGAGGAGGUAUGGGAGGAGGCAUGUUCUAACUCCUAGAAUAGUACUUUGCCCUUAUCAAUGAACUGUGACAGGAAGCUCAAGGCAGGUUCCUCACCAAUAACUUCAGAGAAGUCACCUGGAGAAAAUGACUGAAGAGAAGGCUGGCUGAUCACUGUAACCAUCAGUUAGUUACUGGUUUCCUUUGACAAUAUAUAAUGGUUUACUGUUGUCAUUGUCCAUGCCUACAGAUAAUUUAUUUUGUAUUUUUGAAUAAAGACAUUUGUACAUUCCUGA
RNA transcript from Mastomys coucha (southern multimammate mouse), 778 nucleotides. It is a transcript of the gene named 60 kDa heat shock protein, mitochondrial pseudogene, with no coding region annotated. The record is from RefSeq and is a predicted model, not a curated record. NCBI's taxonomy places the organism in Eukaryota, Metazoa, Chordata, Mammalia, Rodentia, Muridae. The transcript has a single exon.